UGAGGAAUAUUGCGCAAUGGGGCAACCCUGACGCAGCGACGCCGCGUGAGUGAGGAAGGCCUUCGGGUCGUAAAGCCCUGUCAGGUGGGACGAAACAGUCAGGUGCUAAUACCGCCGGGCAUUGACGGUACCACCGAAGGAAGCACCGGCUAACUCCGUGCCAGCAGCCGCGGUAAUACGGAGGGUGCAAGCGUUGUUCGGAAUUAUUGGGCGUAAAGCGCGUGUAGGCGGCCGGGUAAGUCAGAUGUGAAAGCCUUUCGCUUAACGGAAGAAGUGCAUUUGAUACUGCCUGGCUAGAGUUCGGAAGAGGAGAGUGGAAUUCCAGGUGUAGGAGUGAAAUCCGUAGAUAUCUGGAGGAACACCAGUGGCGAAGGCGGCCACCUGGCCGGCAACUGACGCUGAGGUGCGAAAGCGUGGGGAUCAAACA
Molecule: ribosomal RNA, 427 nt
Filed under: uncultured prokaryote
Description: bacterial SSU rRNA
Rfam family: Bacterial small subunit ribosomal RNA
Source: RNAcentral